Molecule: long non-coding RNA, 1278 nt
Filed under: Gadus morhua (Atlantic cod)
Lineage: Eukaryota; Metazoa; Chordata; Actinopteri; Gadiformes; Gadidae
Description: lncRNA (ENSGMOG00000026406.1)
Source: RNAcentral
AUGUCUUCUCCUCACUCUGACUCUUUCGCUAGCGUCAACGAAUGUAUCCCAUCAGAACUAUUCUCGUUGUACUAUGCCACUAUCGACCACGCCAUCGCGUUGAUAAAAAUCGCAGGCCAGGGAGCUUGGCUCGCUAAAGCCAACAUUACAGAUGCUUUUAAAAUAAUGCCCAUUCAUCGGUCUGAUUGGCCGUUGUUCGGCGUGAAAUGGCAGUCCAAAUUCUAUUUCGCAGUUAGACUAACAUUCGGGUGUAGGAGCAGCCCCCACCUCUUCAAUUUGCUAUCUGAGGCCCUAUGCUGGAUUAUGCUAAACAUAUGUAGGUUGCCAUUCGUUCUACAUCUGCUGGACGAUUUUUUGCUUAUUGACUUUCCAUCUAACCAAACCAGCGUCCUGGAUACUCUUAAGAGAGUGUUCAGCGAGAUCGGAGUUCCCUUAUCUGAAGAGAAAACGGAGGGGCCAGUUACCGCAAUCGAAUUUCUAGGGAUUCGCUUAGAUUCGGAUAGGAUGCAAGCAUCCCUCCCGGACGAGAAACUACAGAGGAUCAGAUCGUUUCUCAAUGCGUUUAUAACGUCUGCUGGAAUCACUAAACGUGAAAUGCUCUCACUCCUAGGCCACCUCAAUUUCGCUAUGCGUAUUAUACCACAAGGGCGCUCGUUCAUCUCUCGCCUCCUAGAUCUGGCACAUUCGGUCCCAAAACUGAACGACGUGAUACACCUCAACGAAGGCUGCAGGUCCGAUCUCAAAUUCUGGUCGUUCCUCAUCGCUAAUUGGAACGGAAUUUCCUUCUUCUAUAACGACACGCCUGAAUCAUCUGAUUCUCUCGAACUAUUCACUGAUGCGGCCCCCUCGGUCGGGUUUGGGGGGUUUUUCCAAGGCCAAUGGUUCGCUGGGAGAUGGCCGGUCGAAUUCCGCACAUUCGCCCUCGGGUCAGAGUCGUCUGCGUUGUUCGAGCUCUACCCUAUUGUGGCAGCUAGCGUUCUGUGGGGCCAAGCAUGGCGGCGUAAACGUAUUACCAUGUUUUGCGAUAACGAAGCAGUGGUGGCUAUCAUCAAUAAAAAGCGAUCUGCAUGCCCCACUAUCAUGUCCAUGCUUAGACGUCUCACAUGGCAGUCCGUCACCCUCAAUUUCAUCAUUAAUGCUGAGCAUAUACCUGGUCACCAUAAUAGUCUUGCUGAUUCCCUCUCUCGUUUCCGUUUCCAGGAAUUCAGACGUCUAUGCCCCGCAGCGAAUACGGACCCAAUAAUCAGCCCACCCUUCCACGAACUCCGGCUGGAUUAG